Molecule: unclassified non-coding RNA, 244 nt
Filed under: plant metagenome
Description: partial contains small subunit ribosomal RNA, internal transcribed spacer 1, and 5.8S ribosomal RNA
Source: RNAcentral
UCUCCGUUGGUGAACCAGCGGAGGGAUCAUUACCGAGUUUACAACUCCCAAACCCCAUGCGAACCAUACCAAACUGUUGCCUCGGCGGGGUCACGCCCCGGGUGCGUCGCAGCCCCGGAACCAGGCGCCCGCCGGAGAGACCAACCAAACUCUUUCUGUAGUCCCCUCGCGGACGUUAUUUUUACAGCUCUGAGCAAAAAUUCAAAAUGAAUCAAAACUUUCAACAACGGAUCUCUUGGUUCUG